RNAcentral lists this long non-coding RNA (253 nucleotides) under Cyanistes caeruleus (blue tit). RNAcentral describes it as "lncRNA (ENSCCEG00000017587.1)". The record is from RNAcentral. Lineage: Eukaryota; Metazoa; Chordata; Aves; Passeriformes; Paridae.
AAAAGGCAUUCCACUCAGAGUCUUCAUCUUGACUGAAUCCAGAAGUAUUUCCAGUUUAUAUAAGGGCAGUGUUUCUGCCAGAAUAAUUCUUAGGCUUAACAAUGCAGAGCGCAAGUGUCACUACACAUCUACACAGCUCAAGUUAAAAUUGUUCAGCUACCUGUUCAUGGAAUUUGAGUCAAAAUGCAUUGAAAUGGAUGCUUCAUUUCCCUUUCAGCAGCUGCUUCUGGAACAAAACCUGCCUUUGACUUAA